Molecule: long non-coding RNA, 458 nt
Filed under: Helianthus annuus (common sunflower)
Lineage: Eukaryota; Viridiplantae; Streptophyta; Magnoliopsida; Asterales; Asteraceae
Description: hypothetical non coding rna
Source: RNAcentral
UUUGGGAAUUGUAUUAGUCAACAUCCCAAUCCACUCAUUAUCCUCAUGGUUUGUUUUUUUUAAAUAAACCCACCAUCCAUACUGGAUAUAUUGCAUUCAAGAACCCUAUUGCAAUUGGAUUAAUCUUGAAAAAAAAAAUCUAUAUCAACCACUUAUCCCCACAACUUAUGGCUACAACUCAGAAUGUAUAACAUCCCAAAUCCCUCUUUCUCUACAUCUUGGUCGUAGUCCCCCAUACCACCCUCAUAUGUUUUUUUUUUUUUCAAUAACAAAUCUAUACAAGUGUUGGAUUUCAAGUGAGUUCUCAAGUUCAAGCCAUCCAAGUUUUCUUUAUCCUUAAUCAUCCAUUCUUACUCGAUCUUUAGUUCAUGCAUUGGGCACGGUUAGGUCGCCGCACGUGCACAUGGACAUUGCUAUUUAUUAGUUGUUAUUUGGAGCUUACGCUUUUCCGAUAAGGU